RNAcentral lists this unclassified non-coding RNA (422 nucleotides) under uncultured Sebacinaceae. RNAcentral's name for it is "sequence contains ITS2". The stretch from base 1 to 156 matches the Rfam family "5.8S ribosomal RNA". Lineage: Eukaryota; Fungi; Basidiomycota; Agaricomycetes; Sebacinales; Sebacinaceae. The record is from RNAcentral.
AACUUUUGACAACGGAUCUCUUGGCUCUCGCAUCCAUGAAGAACGCAGCGAAAUGCGAUAAGUAAUGUGAAUUGCAGAAUUCAGUGAAUCAUCGAAUCUUUGAACGCACCUUGCACCCUUUGGAAUGCUCCAAAGGGUAUGCUCGUUUGAGUGUCAUUGUACUCUCACACUCUCUGAUCCUUUGGAUUGGGGAGCGGUGGACUUGGGUGCUUGCUGCUUCCUUGUGGCUCACCUGAAAUGCGUCAGUGCAUCUCUUGAUUGGACAUAGUACGGCGUGAUAAGUGUCUUCGCCGGCACCUCGUAAGAGGGUGGCUGAUCGGGAGCUCUGUGCUUUCAAACCGUCUUCGGACAAUCCCUGACAACUUGACCUCAAAUCGGGUGAGACUACCCGCUGAACUUAAGCAUAUCAAUAAGCGGAGGCU